AUUGAACGCUGGCGGCAUGCCUUACACAUGCAAGUCGAACGGUAACAGGUCUUCGGAUGCUGACGAGUGGCGCACGGGUGAGUAAUACAUCGGAACGUGCCCGAUCGUGGGGGAUAACGGAGCGAAAGCUUUGCUAAUACCGCAUACGAUCUACGGAUGAAAGCAGGGGACCGCAAGGCCUUGCGCGGACGGAGCGGCCGAUGGCAGAUUAGGUAGUUGGUGGGAUAAAAGCUUACCAAGCCGACGAUCUGUAGCUGGUCUGAGAGGACGACCAGCCACACUGGGACUGAGACACGGCCCAGACUCCUACGGGAGGCAGCAGUGGGGAAUUUUGGACAAUGGGCGAAAGCCUGAUCCAGCCAUGCCGCGUGCAGGAUGAAGGCCUUCGGGUUGUAAACUGCUUUUGUACGGAACGAAAAGACUCUUUCCAAUAAAGAGGGUCCAUGACGGUACCGUAAGAAUAAGCACCGGCUAACUACGUG
RNAcentral lists this ribosomal RNA (482 nucleotides) under uncultured bacterium. Its description in RNAcentral is "partial 16S ribosomal RNA". It matches the Rfam family "Bacterial small subunit ribosomal RNA", at positions 30 to 507 of the family's 1533-position model. The record is from RNAcentral.